This is an RNA transcript of Zingiber officinale, 3174 nucleotides long. RefSeq lists it as uncharacterized. The transcript is spliced from 5 exons. NCBI's taxonomy places the organism in Eukaryota, Viridiplantae, Streptophyta, Magnoliopsida, Zingiberales, Zingiberaceae. The record is from RefSeq and is a predicted model, not a curated record.
AUUUCGUGUAUAGAACUCUCUCUCUCUCUCCACUCGGUCUGCACCUGCCGUUUCCUUCUCACCUCCAUUCUCAGCGUCCAAAGUUGGAGAAGCGUCACAAGAUCCCUAAUUGAUGUCCUUCUUCUAAUCAUUCUCCUCUUCGGUCUCUGUUGUCGGUUGCAGGUCACCUGUUCGCUUGUUCAUCGAUUUCUAGUUAGCUGGUUCGAACUUCUGGUUGGUUUGAGCAGAUUCUUUUUCGCAAUUGCUAGGGUUUGCUUCCUAACCUUCUCUUGCCAGUUAGCUCCCGGAUGAAUUGAGCUAUCUAUCGUAUAUUUCCUUCCGAAAUUUUGGUUCUUUUUGUCGAUUAUGGGUGUGCCUCAAUGAAGCAGUUGCUCUAAACCAAAAUUUUAGAGCUUGCAUACUGAUAGACGAAAAUAGGAAAUUUUGGACGUUGAAUCGUUUCUCUUAAGUUGCAAAAAAAGGUUUUUUUUUUCUUUCGCUUUUCUAAAAUUGGUGGAGCUAAAGACUUGUCGGACAUUAUGUUAGAUAUGUUCUGAUUUUCUUCUGUAAAUUGGGUAGAGAUGACUGCUGACCUGAUUUGAUGAGGUUUAAAGAGGGUAGUAGAAAUGGAGGAAGGCAAUAGUAAAUCGGAUUUAAAAUCAUUGCGGAAGCUUGGAGUCAGAACGACGGGAAAUUUGAAGCCUUCUGUGUCAGGGAGGUUUAGUCCUAGGAAUUCUCCUCUCAAUGGAAGGUUGCAUUCUAGUAGAACCCGAAGGGAGAACAAGGCCACCUCUGUCAAGUGGCUUUUUUGGCGGAGCAAUCUUGUAGUGCUAUGGUUGAUGCUUGUAAUUUUUUGGGCUUACAUUGGUUUCCAUGUGCAAUCAAAGUGGGCUCAUGGUGACCAUAGAAAGGAAGAACUCAUUGGUUAUCAGAGCAAGGCAGGUAGUUCUGGCAAAUUAGCUGGAAAUUCAAUCACUUGGAAUCAGGAUUUUGUAACAGAGAAUGGAAAGAACUUAACAUUGAUUAAGAUUGGUGAUACUCAGACAAAGAAAGCAAAAGAGGUCCCAACAAAAGCUAAUACUACCAAGAUUAAGAUCGGUGAUACUCAGACAAAGAAAGUAAAAGAGGUCCCAACAAAAGCUAAUACUACCAAGAAGCGCAGUAGGAGAUCAGAACGGAGACUGCGAAGAGCUUCAGCCAAGUUGAAGGGCAUGGCUUUGGAGAAUAAAACUGGCGAGAUAGAGGAAGGGAUGAUACCAAGAAGAAAUACUUCAUAUGGAUUGAUUGUGGGACCAUUUGGUAAGGCAGAGGACAACAUUCUGGGGUGGAAUGGUGAGAAAAUGUGGGGCACUUGUGAUAGGAAAAAUGAAUUUGCUCAUAUUGUUCGGUCACAGUCGUUUGUGUUGGUUCUUCAUGAACUUUCAAUGACAGGAGCUCCGCUUUCAAUGAUGGAACUAGCAUCAGAGAUCCUGAGUUGUGGGGGUACUGUCUUUGCGGUAGUCCUAAGCAGAAAAGGUGGGCUGCUGACAGAACUCGAUAGAAGAGGGAUUAAAGUAGUUAAAGACAGGGCGCAGAUUAGCUUCAAGACUGCCAUGAAAGCAGAUGUUAUUAUAGCUGGAUCAGCUGUCUGUUCAUCCUGGAUAGAGCAAUAUCUGGCACAUUUCCCAGGUGGCUCAAAUCAAAUAGUUUGGUGGAUCAUGGAGAAUCGACGAGAAUACUUUGACCGAUCAAAGGAUAUGCUUAGCCAAGUGAAACUGAUAGUUUUCUUGUCUGAGUCACAAUCUAAGCAGUGGUUAUCAUGGUGCGAAGAAGAGAAGAUUCAUCUCAAAUUGCAACCAAUGAUAGUUCCUCUCUCUGUGAACGAUGAAUUAGCUUUCAUAGCUGGUAUUCCAUGCUCCCUGAACACUCCAGCUUUUAGUGCAGAAAACAUGCUUAUGAAGAGGAAUAUGCUAAGAGCUUCUGUUAGGAAAGAGAUGGGCUUGAGUGAUAAUGACAUGCUUGUUAUGUCUCUCAGUAGCAUAAACCCUACCAAAGGUCAGCGCUUGUUUCUAGAAUCAGCUCGUUUGGUGGCUGAACAUAAUGUUUCUUUGAAAGCAUUUCCAAAAGAUGAAUCACUUGUGGUAAAGUUUCCAGAAGUUGCUCACCGAAACACAGAUAUUCAGCUUAAUUCUAGUAGCAUCUCAAUGCCAACUAACCAGGAUAUUGUUCUGAAGAGUAACAUUAGUAGUAUGGCUACUAGGAAGAGGAGAAAACAUUCAAAAUCAGCCACUGUUCUUUCUUUGAGAAAUGAUAUUUCUAAGAGUAUCACCAGAGCAGAUGGCCAAAAAUUAAGGAAUCUGCUGGCAGAAACCAAGGACAAAGUAGAGCAGAACCUUAAAGUUCUUAUAGGUUCACUUGGAUCCAAGAGCAACAAAGUGCUUUACAUAAAAGCUAUCCUUAAAUUGUUAUCUCAACAUUCAAACCUGACGAAACAAGUAUUAUGGACCCCAGCAACUACACGCAUUGCGUCACUCUAUGCUGCAGCAGAUGUAUACGUGAUAAAUGCACAGAUUGGAUGGCUUGCUCCUUGCACCAAAAUCCUGGAUCUUUUGUAGGAAAUUGCAUUAUUAUUGGACUACAAGAAAGGGAAAAAUAGGAAGUUCAUAAAUGGCAUUUCUUAAGCAUCAAAUAAAAAGGGGCUUGGAGAAACAUUUGGAAGGGUUACAAUUGAAGCUAUGGCUUUUGGCCUGCCGGUGCUUGGAACUUAUGCAGGAGGGACCAGGGAGAUUGUUGAGCAUGGAGUUACCGGUCUUCUCCAUCCUGUUGGGAGAGAAGGAAUACAAGGUCUGGCCCAGAACAUUCAGUAUCUGCUGAGCAACCCAUCAAUGAAAGAAAAAAUGGGAAUUCUCGGAAGGAGAAAGGUACAAGAGAAAUACCUGAAGAAUCACAUGUACAAGAGUUUUGCUAACGUUCUCAUCAAGUGCAACAAAAUCAAAUAGCAAAGCUGUUCAACUACUGCACAUUUUGCAACUAGAGAUCUUUUCAAUCGAUUCAUUAGACAUUUUUUCCAUUUGCAAUUAACUUGUUAACAACCACGUGUUGAUUGGUUAUUAUUAUUAUUUUUUUACUUCAGUAGAAUGCUCAAUUAUAUAUUUGAGUUUUGUCUGUAGUAAAUUUGAAAUACAAUUUAAGCAUAUUUAGAGGUCAAUUUCAAAA